GUUGUUUUGAGAACGAACAAAAGAUAUCUCAGUUUCAAGGUCUCAGCUUAGAGAGAAGAAGCCUUGUGAGGUAUUGGUCUGUCACAUGAAUGAAACUAUACGAAACUAUACUAUACUCGGGCUAUACUCGGCCUUGUCUCGGGAUGGACCUGAGCCCAAGGACCAUGCCUCAGGACUACCUGGCUUGAUGACUCCUUGCUGUCCCCAGUCCACCUGGCCGUGCUGCUGCUCCAGUUCCAACUGUUCUGCCUGCGGCUAUGGAACCCUGACCUGUUCACCGGACGUGCUACCUGUCCCAGACCUGCUGUCCCAGACCUGCUGGAAACCUGACCUGUUCACCGGAUGUGCUACCUGUCCCAGACCUGCUGUUUUCAACUCUCUAGAGACAGCAGGAGCGGUAGAGAUACUCUCAAAGAUCGGCUAUGAAAAAGCCAACUGACACUUACUCUUGUGUUACUG
RNAcentral lists this long non-coding RNA (459 nucleotides) under Salmo salar (Atlantic salmon). RNAcentral's name for it is "lncRNA (ENSSSAG00000109740.1)". The record is from RNAcentral. Lineage: Eukaryota; Metazoa; Chordata; Actinopteri; Salmoniformes; Salmonidae.